CAGGGAAUAGUUUAAUAAAAAUUUUAAUUUUGGAGAUUAGCGAUAGGGUUUAAUUCCUUUUCCUUGA
This 67-nucleotide transfer RNA is filed under the name Trachylophus sinensis. RNAcentral's name for it is "tRNA-Pro". Lineage: Eukaryota; Metazoa; Arthropoda; Insecta; Coleoptera; Cerambycidae. The record is from RNAcentral.